UACAAACAGCUGUUUUAAAGCAGUAUUAAAUACGCACGCUAAUUCGACGGUCGGGUUUUAAACAUAAAUCGUGUAAAAAAUUGUUAGAAAAUUAGAAAAAAAUAAGAAAUAAAUAAAAAGGAACAUGAAAUAAAAGAUAUAAGUCAAGGCAUAUGGAAAUAAGUGUUUAAGUGCAAAGUGUCGUAAGAAUUAAAAUACAAAUAUUAAGAAAAAAAAAAGAGAAUGUGUCUUGUUGAUCAUACAACCAUAACAAAAUAUUAAGUUGAAAAAUAAAACAAAUCACACAACAACAACAACAAUAAAACAAACAAAAACCACAACAGCUUAAAAGGGGGUUACUAAUGGCCAACAAACUGAAAUCAACUGACCAUGUGGUAUGAAUGAAACAAAUAUGUAUGUAUGUAGUUUUGAAUGUUGCUAACGGAGAGCGUACAUUCAACUUUGAAAACGACUACAGCGAAUGAACUAAACAAAGCAUACAAGCACAUAUUAAAUGACCCCAUCUUGUGUAUUUAACAAACAUUGACUUUGGCGUUGACACAGUUUCCAGUUUUUUCGUCAUCAUCACCAUCAGCACUAGCGUUUUAAAUGGAUUUUCUACGAUUCUCUAUACCAAAAGGGAUAUAAAUUUUUUGUUGUUUAAAACGAAACAUUUCAUUUGUGUUGUGGUUGGUUACUUUUGACACUCUACUGGGAGGUUUGUAGUAGUAGUAGUAGUUUGUAUAACAACUUCUACCACUUUUAUAUUACUCUUCUGUUUCUGGCAUUUGGACUCUCUGCCAGGUUUUGACCAGUCAGUCAAGGAUUACUUUAUAUAAAAAUCAACUAGUUUAUUGUUGUGCAAAAGGUAAGUGUCU
Molecule: long non-coding RNA, 857 nt
Organism: Lucilia sericata (common green bottle fly)
Lineage: Eukaryota; Metazoa; Arthropoda; Insecta; Diptera; Calliphoridae
Exons: 4
Source: RefSeq, a predicted model, not a curated record